Eupeodes corollae is the source of this 1126-nucleotide long non-coding RNA. RefSeq lists it as uncharacterized. Lineage: Eukaryota; Metazoa; Arthropoda; Insecta; Diptera; Syrphidae. The record is from RefSeq and is a predicted model, not a curated record. The transcript has 2 exons.
AAAAAAGUCAUAAAUAAAGACGAGACAAAUUUUCAAGUUUAUUUGAAAUUAUGAAUUUAAAUAAACAAUGCAAGUAUCACUGUUUUAUUUUUGUACAAAUAAAGCAGUUAAUAAUAUUAUGCGCAAUUUGUCUGAUAUUUUAAUUAUUUUUUUCACUUAAAUACCUAACUAUGGCAAUUUCAAGGCCUAAGAUAGAUUUGUUUUUAUCUUUAAUUUAUUCUUGAAAGCUUUUAGCUGACAAGUUUUGUGACUGAUUGUGGAUAAAUUUACAAUAUUAUUCAAAUCAACAUCUCGCGACAAGAACGACAACUGACUCAACUUAAAAGUUAUAAAUAAAAUAAUACUAAAGUGUACUCCAAGCCCAAUGUUGUUGUUAAGUGCACACGCUACAUAAUAAAAUAUGAUUGGUAAUGGGAAUGAGAAAAAAUUAUUUGAGUAGUAGACAAACCUUACGACUUGUUGCUUAGAUAAUUGUGGAAAUUAUUUUAAAAUUGUGAAUGUGAAAAGUGUAUUACGUAAAUGCAAAUUACCAGGCACUAAUCUACCUCCUUUGUACUUAAAAACGCAUUAUAUAAAGAUGAUUGUCUUCCAAUGCGGAAGAAGGUUUGACAUUUUUUGACUUAAAACAUUAAAACUGGAAAAUCUUUUAAAGUGGAGAGUAAAUUUUCUAUUGUUCCUAAAUUUAAGUGAACAUUUUUAAAACGCUUCGGAACUUUCUCAAGAGUUUUAUCGUCCCACUUCUUAUUAAAACAUAAACAUGUGACGUAAUUUAUGAAUACGACUUCCUCCUGAAUAAACAAAAAAGUAUUGUUAACGAUUUUACGAUUUUUCAAUGGCCAAAGAAUCUUUAAGGUGAAUUACGUUUAAAAAAUGUUCAAUAAUCAUAAAAUGUACACAUUCUAAAAAAAGGAACACCAACGCAGUGCUAAAUAAUAUAUGACCCGAACUUUACUUCCAUCUUUAAAAAAAAAUUAAUAAAACCAAAAAAGGUGUUAAAGCUCAUAAAAUGUGAAUAUAUCUCGACAAUCGUAAAAGAAAUAUUAUCUCUCUUCUUAAAAGAAGAGCACGUGGCUAAAAUAUAUGUAUUUUUAAAAUUGGAACAUUAUAAUAAAAAAAUAAUAAAAAU